Molecule: ribosomal RNA, 253 nt
Filed under: uncultured bacterium
Lineage: Bacteria
Description: partial 16S ribosomal RNA
Rfam family: Bacterial small subunit ribosomal RNA
Source: RNAcentral
GACAGAGGGUGCGAACGUUGCUCGGAAUCACUGGGCGUAAAGCGCGCGUAGGCGGGCAAGCAAGUCGGUUGUGAAAUCCCUGGGCUCAACCCAGGAACUGCAUCCGAAACUAUUUGUCUCGAGUGACGGAGAGGAUAGUGGAAUUCCCGGUGUAGAGGUGAAAUUCGUAGAUAUCGGGAGGAACACCAGUGGCGAAGGCGGCUAUCUGGACGUCUACUGACGCUGAGGCGCGAAAGCGUGGGGAGCAAACAGG